This 2851-nucleotide ribosomal RNA is filed under the name Salmonella enterica subsp. enterica serovar Enteritidis. RNAcentral describes it as "bacterial LSU rRNA". It matches the Rfam family "Bacterial large subunit ribosomal RNA". The record is from RNAcentral. Lineage: Bacteria; Pseudomonadati; Pseudomonadota; Gammaproteobacteria; Enterobacterales; Enterobacteriaceae.
GGGUUGUGAGGUUAAGCGACUAAGCGUACACGGUGGAUGCCCUGGCAGUCAGAGGCGAUGAAGGGCGUGCUAAUCUGCGAUAAGCGCCGGUAAGGUGAUAUGAACCGUUAUAACCGGCGAUACCCGAAUGGGGAAACCCAGUGUGACUCGUCACACUAUCAUUAACUGAAUCCAUAGGUUAAUGAGGCGAACCGGGGGAACUGAAACAUCUAAGUACCCCGAGGAAAAGAAAUCAACCGAGAUUCCCCCAGUAGCGGCGAGCGAACGGGGAGGAGCCCAGAGCCUGAAUCAGCAUGUGUGUUAGUGGAAGCGUCUGGAAAGGCGCGCGAUACAGGGUGACAGCCCCGUACACAAAAGCGCAUGUGCUGUGAGCUCGAUGAGUAGGGCGGGACACGUGGUAUCCUGUCUGAAUAUGGGGGGACCAUCCUCCAAGGCUAAAUACUCCUGACUGACCGAUAGUGAACCAGUACCGUGAGGGAAAGGCGAAAAGAACCCCGGCGAGGGGAGUGAAAAAGAACCUGAAACCGUGUACGUACAAGCAGUGGGAGCACNNNNNNNNNNNNNNNNNNNNNNNNNNNNNGGGCGUUAAGUUGCAGGGUAUAGACCCGAAACCCGGUGAUCUAGCCAUGGGCAGGUUGAAGGUUGGGUAACACUAACUGGAGGACCGAACCGACUAAUGUUGAAAAAUUAGCGGAUGACCUGUGGCUGGGGGUGAAAGGCCAAUCAAACCGGGAGAUAGCUGGUUCUCCCCGAAAGCUAUUUAGGUAGCGCCUCGUGAAUUCAUCUCCGGGGGUAGAGCACUGUUUCGGCUAGGGGGCCAUCCCGGCUUACCAACCCGAUGCAAACUGCGAAUACCGGAGAAUGUUAUCACGGGAGACACACGGCGGGUGCUAACGUCCGUCGUGAAGAGGGAAACAACCCAGACCGCCAGCUAAGGUCCCAAAGUCAUGGUUAAGUGGGAAACGAUGUGGGAAGGCCCAGACAGCCAGGAUGUUGGCUUAGAAGCAGCCAUCAUUUAAAGAAAGCGUAAUAGCUCACUGGUCGAGUCGGCCUGCGCGGAAGAUGUAACGGGGCUAAACCAUGCACCGAAGCUGCGGCAGCGACACUGUGUGUUGUUGGGUAGGGGAGCGUUCUGUAAGCCUGCGAAGGUGGCCUGUGAGGGUUGCUGGAGGUAUCAGAAGUGCGAAUGCUGACAUAAGUAACGAUAAAGCGGGUGAAAAGCCCGCUCGCCGGAAGACCAAGGGUUCCUGUCCAACGUUAAUCGGGGCAGGGUGAGUCGACCCCUAAGGCGAGGCCGAAAGGCGUAGUCGAUGGGAAACGGGUUAAUAUUCCCGUACUUGGUGUUACUGCGAAGGGGGGACGGAGAAGGCUAUGUUGGCCGGGCGACGGUUGUCCCGGUUUAAGCGUGUAGGUGUGUGUUCCAGGUAAAUCCGGUUCACUUUAACACUGAGGCGUGACGACGAGGCACUACGGUGCUGAAGCAACAAAUGCCCUGCUUCCAGGAAAAGCCUCUAAGCAUCAGGUAACAUCAAAUCGUACCCCAAACCGACACAGGUGGUCAGGUAGAGAAUACCAAGGCGCUUGAGAGAACUCGGGUGAAGGAACUAGGCAAAAUGGUGCCGUAACUUCGGGAGAAGGCACGCUGACACGUAGGUGAAGUGAUUUACUCAUGGAGCUGAAGUCAGUCGAAGAUACCAGCUGGCUGCAACUGUUUAUUAAAAACACAGCACUGUGCAAACACGAAAGUGGACGUAUACGGUGUGACGCCUGCCCGGUGCCGGAAGGUUAAUUGAUGGGGUCAGCGCAAGCGAAGCUCCUGAUCGAAGCCCCGGUAAACGGCGGCCGUAACUAUAACGGUCCUAAGGUAGCGAAAUUCCUUGUCGGGUAAGUUCCGACCUGCACGAAUGGCGUAAUGAUGGCCAGGCUGUCUCCACCCGAGACUCAGUGAAAUUGAACUCGCUGUGAAGAUGCAGUGUACCCGCGGCAAGACGGAAAGACCCCGUGAACCUUUACUAUAGCUUGACACUGAACAUUGAGCCUUGAUGUGUAGGAUAGGUGGGAGGCUUUGAAGUGUGGACGCCAGUCUGCAUGGAGCCGACCUUGAAAUACCACCCUUUAAUGUUUGAUGUUCUAACGUGGACCCGUUACCCGGGUUGCGGACAGUGUCUGGUGGGUAGUUUGACUGGGGCGGUCUCCUCCUAAAGAGUAACGGAGGAGCACGAAGGUUGGCUAAUCCUGGUCGGACAUCAGGAGGUUAGUGCAAUGGCAUAAGCCAGCUUGACUGCGAGCGUGACGGCGCGAGCAGGUGCGAAAGCAGGUCAUAGUGAUCCGGUGGUUCUGAAUGGAAGGGCCAUCGCUCAACGGAUAAAAGGUACUCCGGGGAUAACAGGCUGAUACCGCCCAAGAGUUCAUAUCGACGGCGGUGUUUGGCACCUCGAUGUCGGCUCAUCACAUCCUGGGGCUGAAGUAGGUCCCAAGGGUAUGGCUGUUCGCCAUUUAAAGUGGUACGCGAGCUGGGUUUAGAACGUCGUGAGACAGUUCGGUCCCUAUCUGCCGUGGGCGCUGGAGAACUGAGGGGGGCUGCUCCUAGUACGAGAGGACCGGAGUGGACGCAUCACUGGUGUUCGGGUUGUCAUGCCAAUGGCACUGCCCGGUAGCUAAAUGCGGAAGAGAUAAGUGCUGAAAGCAUCUAAGCACGAAACUUGCCCCGAGAUGAGUUCUCCCUGAGACUUAGAGUCUCCUGAAGGAACGUUGAAGACGACGACGUUGAUAGGCCGGGUGUGUAAGCGCAGCGAUGCGUUGAGCUAACCGGUACUAAUGAACCGUGAGGCUUAACCUUACAACGCCGAAG